Molecule: non-coding RNA, 113 nt
Organism: Acanthosepion pharaonis
Lineage: Eukaryota; Metazoa; Mollusca; Cephalopoda; Sepiida; Sepiidae
Source: the annotation of a GenBank genome assembly
UUACGGCCAUAUCACUCAGAAAUACCAGCGCUCGUGCGAUUCCCGAAGUUAAGCAACGUUGAGCCUGGUCAGAACUUAGAUGGGUGACCGCUUGGAAUUACCAGGUGCUGUAA